Molecule: ribosomal RNA, 429 nt
Filed under: Gemmatimonadota bacterium
Lineage: Bacteria; Pseudomonadati; Gemmatimonadota
Description: Gemmatimonadetes bacterium partial 16S ribosomal RNA
Rfam family: Bacterial small subunit ribosomal RNA
Source: RNAcentral
UAGGGAAUCUUCGGCAAUGGACGAAAGUCUGACCGAGCAACGCCGCGUGAGUGAAGAAGGUUUUCGGAUCGUAAAACUCUGUUGUUAGAGAAGAACAAGGACGUUAGUAACUGAACGUCCCCUGACGGUAUCUAACCAGAAAGCCACGGCUAACUACGUGCCAGCAGCCGCGGUAAUACGUAGGUGGCAAGCGUUGUCCGGAUUUAUUGGGCGUAAAGCGAGCGCAGGCGGUUUCUUAAGUCUGAUGUGAAAGCCCCCGGCUCAACCGGGGAGGGUCAUUGGAAACUGGGAGACUUGAGUGCAGAAGAGGAGAGUGGAAUUCCAUGUGUAGCGGUGAAAUGCGUAGAUAUAUGGAGGAACACCAGUGGCGAGGGCGGCUCUCUGGUCUGUAACUGACGCUGAGGCUCGAAAGCAUGGGGAGCAAACAGG